RNAcentral lists this long non-coding RNA (909 nucleotides) under Ficedula albicollis (Collared flycatcher). RNAcentral's name for it is "lncRNA (ENSFALG00000024405.1)". Lineage: Eukaryota; Metazoa; Chordata; Aves; Passeriformes; Muscicapidae. The record is from RNAcentral.
GGUCCCUGCAAUGUUCAGCUCCAGGUUGGGCACUGGGGCUGGAGCAGCCUGGGACAGGGGGAGGUGUCCCUGCCAUGGCAGGAGUGGCACUGGAUGAUUUUUAAGAUCCUUCCCCUCCCAUUCCAUGGUUCUCUGUAACUCCCCACCCUUUCCCUUUUCCCACAGCUGGGGCAGGACAAUCCCAUCCCAAAAUUCUUCCAGGCUGAAAAGGGGGCUCAGAGUGCUGGGAAGCCCCUCAAAUAACCAGGCCACAGACCUGGGAUGCUGCUGGGAUUCCAGUCUGCUGCCAGUGGCUCCUCCAGGUGCUCAGACCCAGAGGUUUCCAGUGAAAUUCCAGCCAGGACUCCCUGUUAAGGAGAGAAAUUCCAUCUUUUCCAAAGGCUUUGAGCUGCCACCAGUGCCCCACAAACCCAGCUGGCUCCAAGCAGUGCUGCAGACGAUGCAGUAACAAAAUCAUGGGGUUGUUUAAUGGACUCAGGAGCUACAAAAAGCCUGUCACCAGUGCCACAGCACUGGAAGAACCCAACUGAGACCUUCCAGGACCUGGAGCCAACAAGGAGAUGGAGAGAAAACCAAAGGCAUGGAACAGGCAGGGAGGAUUUGUGCUGCAUGGAUCUCCUGCCUGCUCCUCGUUAUGGAAAACCCAUCAGAAAGAGGGGGAAUAAACAAAGGGAUUUGGGGCCCCAGCAGUGCAAAUAAAAGCAUUGUUAGCGGGGAUGGGUGUUUGGGUUUCUCCCUUCCUCUGGGAGCUGCUGGAGAGGAAGCAGAUUAGGGAUUGCCAGCUCUGGCAAAAUCGACCGGUGGCAUCAGAAUGACCUCAUUAUGGGCUGUAAAUGAGCUCACAGCAUAAUUAUGUGUUCAGGGAAAAAAACACCUCGGGAGCUGCCCACAGGUGUGGGGUUAACCCUU